Molecule: small nucleolar RNA, 194 nt
Organism: Marmota marmota marmota (Alpine marmot)
Lineage: Eukaryota; Metazoa; Chordata; Mammalia; Rodentia; Sciuridae
Gene: U3
Rfam family: Small nucleolar RNA U3
About the family: Small nucleolar RNAs (snoRNAs) are involved in the processing and modification of rRNA in the nucleolus.
Source: Ensembl
AAGACUAUAAUUUUCAGGGAUCAUUUCUAUAGUUUGUUACUAGCAAAGUUUCUCUGAUCUGGCUGAGUAUUGGAAACCAUGAGGAGGAAAUGAACCAUCCUCUCCUAAGUGUGAAGCUGGCUCUUGGUGUUGCUUUGCUGUAACUGCCUUUUGUUGUUGGAAGAGUGAAAGGGAGAGAAUACUGUCUGAGCAGG